GAAGCCGGAAUUGCUAGUAAUGGCAGGUCAGCAUACUGCCGUGAAUACGUUCCCGGGCCUUGUACACACCGCCCGUCACACCAUGAGAGUUGGGAAUACCCGAAGCCUGUGAGCUAACUAUAUGAGGCAGCAGUCGAAGGUAGAAUCAAUGAUUGGGGUGAAGUCGUAACAAGGUAUC
This 178-nucleotide ribosomal RNA is filed under the name uncultured bacterium. RNAcentral describes it as "partial 16S ribosomal RNA". It matches the Rfam family "Bacterial small subunit ribosomal RNA", at positions 1322 to 1500 of the family's 1533-position model. The record is from RNAcentral.